RNAcentral lists this ribosomal RNA (742 nucleotides) under marine metagenome. RNAcentral describes it as "bacterial SSU rRNA". It matches the Rfam family "Bacterial small subunit ribosomal RNA", at positions 51 to 841 of the family's 1533-position model. The record is from RNAcentral.
AUACAUGCAAGUCGAACGAGGUCUUCGGACCUAGUGGCGCACGGGUGAGUAACAUGUGGGAAUCUACCUGAAGGUUCGGAAUAACUGCGGGAAACUGUAGCUAAUACCGGAUGUGUCUGCAAAGAGAAAGAUUUAUCGCCUUCAGAUGAGCCCGCACUAGAUUAGCUAGUUGGUGAGGUAAUUGCUCCACCAAGGCUCCGAUCUAUAGCUGAUUUGAGAGGAUGAUCAGCCACACUGGGACUGAGACACGGCCCAGACUCCUACGGGAGGCAGCAGUAGGGAAUAUUGGACAAUGGGGGAAACCCUGAUCCAGCAAUGCCGCGUGAGUGAAGAAGGCCUUCGGGUUGUAAAGCUCUUUCAUCAAUGAUGAUAAUGACAUUAGUUGAAGAAGAAGCCCCGGCUAACUUCGUGCCAGCAGCCGCGGUAAUACGAAGGGGGCUAGCGUUGUUCGGAAUCACUGGGCGUAAAGCGUAUGUAGGCGGAUCAAAAAGUUAGAUGUGAAAUCCCUGGGCUCAACCCAGGAACUGCAUUUAAAACUAGUGAUCUAGAAUUUGGUAGGGGUUAGUAGAAUUUCCAGUGUAGAGGUGAAAUUCGUAGAUAUUGGAAAGAAUACCAGUGGCGAAGGCGACUAACUGGGCCAUUUUUGACGCUGAGAUACGAAAGCGUGGGUAGCAAACAGGAUUAGAUACCCUGGUAGUCCACGCAGUAAACGAUGAGUGCUAGUCGCUGGGACAAUAGUUUC